AGUCUGGUGCCAGCAGCCGCGGUAAUUCCAGCUCCAAUAGCGUAUAUUAAAGUUGCUGCAGUUAAAAAGCUCGUAGUUGGAUCUGGGGCUUGAGGUCGCUGUCUAUCGUUUCGGCGAUGACGGUGAUGCUCAGCUCUGCUUGCCGGUGACUGUUGCGGUGUUCUUCACUGAGCGCUGUAGCAGCACGGCACGUUUACUUUGAAAAAAUUAGAGUGCUCAAAGCGUGCUUGUCGCUUGAAUAAUGUUGCAUGGAAUAAUGGAAUAGGACCUCGGUUCUAUUUUGUUGGUUUUCGGAGCUUGAGGUAAUGAUUAAGAGGGACGAACGGGGGCAUUCGUAUUGCGGUGUUAGAGGUGAAAUUCUUGGAUCGCCGCAAGACGGACUACUGCGAAAGCAUUUGCCAAGAACGCUUUCAUUAAUUAAGAACGAAAGUCAGAGGUUCGAAGACGAUCAGACACCGUCCUAGUUCUGACCAUAAACGAUGCCGACCAGCGAUCCGUAGUGGUUGCUUUAUGGACCCUACGGGCAGCCUCCGGGAAACCAAAGUAUUUGGGUUCCGGGGGAAGUAUGGUUGCAAAGCUGAAACUUAAAGGAAUUGACGGAAGGGCACACCAGGAGUGGAGCCUGCGGCUUAAUUUGACCCAACACGGGAAAACUCACCCGGUCCGGACACCGUAAGGAUUGACAGACUGAUAGCUCUUUCUUGAUUCGGUGGAUGGUGGUGCAUGGCCGUUCUUAGUUGGUGGAGUGAUUUGUCUGGUUAAUUCCGGUAACGAACGAGACUCUAGCCUGCUAAGUAGUGUUGCUAUUGUUAUAUGGUUGACACUUCUUAGAGGGACAAGUGGCAUUUAGCCACGCGAAAUUGAGCAAUAACAGGUCUGUGAUGCCCUUAGAUGUCCGGGGCCGCACGCGCGCUACACUGGAGAAGUCAGCGUGUGUUAUCCAAGUCCGAAAGGACUGGGUAAUCCGUUGAACCUUCUUCGUGCUUGGGACUGUGGCUUGGAACUAUUCCACAUGAACGAGGAAUUCCUAGUAAUUGCAAGUCAUAAGCUUGCGUUGAUUACGUCCCUGCCCUUUGUACACACCGCCCGUCGCUACUACCGAUUGAAUGGUUUAGCAAGGUCCUCGGAUCGUGGCCGUAGGGGCACGCAAGUGUUUCUGCGGUUUGCGAGAAGACGACCAAACUUGAUCAUUUAGA
RNAcentral lists this ribosomal RNA (1196 nucleotides) under metagenome. RNAcentral's name for it is "SSU rRNA". It matches the Rfam family "Eukaryotic small subunit ribosomal RNA", at positions 558 to 1777 of the family's 1831-position model. The record is from RNAcentral.